UUGGGUUUAAGGGUGCGUAGGCGGAAUAAUAAGUCAGUUGUGAAAGUUUGCGGCUCAACCGUAAAAUUGCAGUUGAUACUGUUAUUCUUGAGUGUACAUAAGGUAGGCGGAAUUCGUGGUGUAGCGGUGAAAUGCUUAGAUAUCACGAAGAACUCCAAUUGCGAAGGCAGCUUACUGGGGUACAACUGACGCUGAGGCACGAAAGUGUGGGUAUCAAACAGGAUUAGAUACCCUGGUAGUCCACACAGUAAACGAUGAAUACUCGCUGUUUGCAAUAUACCGCAAGUGGCCAAGCGAAAGCAUUAAGUAUUCCACCUGGGGAGUACGCCGGCAACGGUGAAACUCAAAGGAAUUGACGGGGGCCCGCACAAGCGGAGGAACAUGUGGUUUAAUUCGAUGAUACGCGAGGAACCUUACCCAGGCUUAAAUUGCAGAUGAAUAUUUAGGAAACUAGAUAGCCUUCGGGCAUCUGUGAAGGUGCUGCAUGGUUGUCGUCAGCUCGUGCCGUGAGGUGUCGGCUUAAGUGCCAUAACGAGCGCAACCCUUAUUGAUAGUUACUAACAGGUUAAGCUGAGGACUCUAUCGAGACUGCCGUCGUAAGAUGCGAGGAAGGUGGGGAUGACGUCAAAUCAGCACGGCCCUUACGUCUGGGGCUACACACGUGUUACAAUGGGGGGUACAGAAGGUCGCUACCUGGCAACAGGAUGCUAAUCCCAAAAGCCUCUCUCAGUUCGGAUUGGAGUCUGCAACCCGACUCCAUGAAGCUGGAUUCGCUAGUAAUCGCGCAUCAGCCACGGCGCGGUGAAUACGUUCCCGGGCCUUGUACACACCGCCCGUCAAGCCAUGGGAGCCGGGGGUACCUGAAGUACGUAACCGCAAGGAGC
Molecule: ribosomal RNA, 884 nt
Filed under: uncultured bacterium
Lineage: Bacteria
Description: bacterial SSU rRNA
Rfam family: Bacterial small subunit ribosomal RNA
Source: RNAcentral